AUUGAACGCUGGCGGCAGGCUUAACACAUGCAAGUCGAGCGGAGAGAGGUAGCUUGCUACUGAUCUUAGCGGCGGACGGGUGAGUAAUGCUUAGGAAUCUGCCUAUUAGUGGGGGACAACAUUUCGAAAGGAAUGCUAAUACCGCAUACGUCCUACGGGAGAAAGCAGGGGAUCUUCGGACCUUGCGCUAAUAGAUGAGCCUAAGUCGGAUUAGCUAGUUGGUGGGGUAAAGGCCUACCAAGGCGACGACCUGUAGCGGGUCUGAGAGGAUGAUCCGCCACACUGGGACUGAGACACGGCCCAGACUCCUACGGGAGGCAGCAGUGGGGAAUAUUGGACAAUGGGCGCAAGCCUGAUCCAGCCAUGCCGCGUGUGUGAAGAAGGCCUUAUGGUUGUAAAGCACUUUAAGCGAGGAGGAGGCUACUUUAGUUAAUACCUAGAGAUAGUGGACGUUACUCGCAGAAUAAGCACUGGCUAACUCUGUGCCAGCCGCCGCCGUAA
RNAcentral lists this ribosomal RNA (501 nucleotides) under uncultured bacterium. RNAcentral describes it as "partial 16S ribosomal RNA". It matches the Rfam family "Bacterial small subunit ribosomal RNA", at positions 30 to 523 of the family's 1533-position model. The record is from RNAcentral.